Molecule: long non-coding RNA, 248 nt
Filed under: Lathyrus oleraceus (garden pea)
Lineage: Eukaryota; Viridiplantae; Streptophyta; Magnoliopsida; Fabales; Fabaceae
Description: Pisum sativum (pea) long non-coding RNA (PSAT_LNC005027)
Source: RNAcentral
CCAGACAUCAAAACAGAUCAAAACUAGUAAAUCAAAGGUGAUUAAUGCAAUUCAAAUUUUUGGUUAAUAGUGCUUGAAUGUUGAAUAAUACAUACACAUACAUCAUGCACAUAAACAAAACAUACCCAUAAAUUGUCAACAAAUUGAGCCAAAUUCUGCACUACAACAUCUUUUUUCAAAUUCUACACUACAACCAAAAUUCAAAUUCUAAACAAAAUAUUAUUGAUUUACAAACUCAUCGUAGUCCU